Molecule: transfer RNA, 76 nt
Filed under: Actinomycetota bacterium
Lineage: Bacteria; Bacillati; Actinomycetota
Also listed under: 2 other names
Description: tRNA-Thr
Rfam family: tRNA
About the family: Transfer RNA (tRNA) molecules are approximately 80 nucleotides in length. Their secondary structure includes four short double-helical elements and three loops (D, anti-codon, and T loops).
Source: RNAcentral
GCCGGGAUAGCUCAGUUGGCAGAGCGAGGCAUUCGUAAUGCCUAGGUCCGGGGUUCGAUUCCCCGUCCCGGCUCCA